Non-coding RNA from Tinamus guttatus (white-throated tinamou), 100 nucleotides. The record is from RefSeq and is a predicted model, not a curated record. NCBI's taxonomy places the organism in Eukaryota, Metazoa, Chordata, Aves, Tinamiformes, Tinamidae.
CAUAUAUAUAUGUAUUUAAAAAUAAAGGUAGUGUUCUAUAAACUUAGAUAGGCUAGUGAUAAAAGAAACACGAUGUUUACAUUAUGGAUAACAAUUCACU